AAAAAUAGAGCUACUAUAUGAUCCAACAAUCUCUUUCUGAGGUAUAUAACCCAAAAGAAAAGAAAUCAGGAUAUAGAAGAGAUAUCUGCACUCCCAUGUAUAUUGCAGCACCAUUCAUAAUAGCCAAUAUUUGGAAGCAACUUAAGUGUCCAUCAACAGAUGAAUGAAUAAAGAAAAUGUGGUACAUACGCACAAUGGAGUACUAUUCAGCCAUAAAAAACUGAGAUCCUGUCAUUUGCAACAAUAUAGUUGGAUCUAAUAACCUGACGUUUCUUUUCUUUUCUUUUCUUUUCUUUUUUUUGAGACGGAGUCAUGCUCUAUCGCCCAGGUUGGAGUGCGGUGGCGCGAUCUCGGCUCAUUGCAACCUCCGCCUCCCGGUAAUAACCAGACAUUUCUUGAUGACCACAACAAGGAGGAGUGGGGGGUUGUGUCCUCUGAUGGAAUUCAGAUAAGAUGUGUUCCCCAGGCCAGCAGUCCUUCAUGCCGCUUGUCAUAAGGAGAAAAGAAUAUGGAGAGAGCAGCAUAGAUGCAAAUCAGCCUUUACUCGUUGGAAGACCAUUGCUGGCAGGAACCUAACUGAAACAGAGCCAACAGCUUAUGAAUAACAACCAGCCAGCAGCUUCUUCCCAACCAACUCAACAGCAAACCUGUAGCAUUGUGUGGCCAGGUGCCAUGGCUCACGCCUGUAAUCCCAGCACUUUUGGAGGCUGAGGCAGGAGGUUCGCUUCAGUCCAGGAGUUCAAGACCUAUAGCAUUGUGUAUUUUGCUUUUCAUCUUCUCUACUCUCCCUCUGGGAGUUUAAACAAUAUAACACUGAUUGGAAGACAGAAACAAGAUGUUAGCAAGCUCAGGAAACCUGGAGCAAACUGUUGCCUCUGAAAGGAUUUCACUGCUUUUGAGAGGUGACAGCGCGCUGGCAGUCCUCACAGCCCUCGCUCGCUCUCCGCGCCUCCUCUGCCUGGGCUCCCACUUUGGUGGCACUUGAGGAGCCCUUCGGCCCGCCGCUGCACUGUGGGAGCCCCUUUCUGGGCUGGCCAAGGCUGGAGCCCACUCCCUCAGCUUGCAGGGAGGUGUGGAGGGAGAGGCGCGAGCGGGAACUGGGGCUGCAUGCGGCGCUUGCGGGCCAGCUGGAGUUCCGGGUGGGGGUGGGCUUGGCGGGCCCUGCACUCGGAGCAGCCAGCCAGACCUGCUGGCCCCGGGCAAUGAGGGGUUUAGCACCCGAGCCAGUGGCUGCGGAGGGUGUACUGGGUCCCCCAGCAGUGCCAGCCCACUGGCGCUGCACUCGAUUUCUCACCAAGCCUUAGCUGCCUUCCCGUGGGGCAGGGCUCGGGACCUGCAGCCUGCCAUACCUGAGCCUCCCACCCACUCCAUGGGCUCCUGUGCGGCCCGAGCAUCCCCAACGAGAACCACCCCCUGCUCCACGGCGCCCAGUCCCAUUGACCACCCAAGGGCUGAGGAAUGCGAGCACACGGCGCAGGACUGGCAGGCAGCUCCACCUGCAGCCCUGGUGCAGGAUCCACUAGGUGAAGCCAGCUGGGCUCCUGAGUCUGGUGGGGACGUGGAGAGUCUUUAUAUCUAGCUCAGGGAUUGUAAAUACACCAAUCAGCACCCUGUGUUUAGCUCAAGGUUUGUGAGUGCACCAGUCGACCCUCUGUAUCUAGCUGCUCUGGUGAGGACGUGGAGAACCUUUAUGUCUAGCUCAAGGAUUGUAAAUAUACCAAUUGGCACUCUGUAUCUAGCUCAAGGUUUGUAAACACACCAAUCAGCACCCUGUGUUUAGCUCAAGGUUUGUGAAUGCACCAAUCGACACUCUGUAUUUAGCUGCUCUGGUGGGGCCUUGGAGAACCUGUGUGUCGAAACUCUGUAUCUAACUAAUCUGAUGGGGACGUGGAGAACCUUUGUAUCUAGCUCUGGGAUUGUAAACGCACCAAUCAGCGCCCUGACAAAACAGGCCACUCGGCUCUACCAAUCAGCAGGAUGUGGGUGGGGCCAGAUAAGAGAAUAAAAGCAGGCUGCCUGAACCAGCACUGGCAACCCGCUCGGGUACCCUUGCACACUGUGGAAGCUUGGUUUUUUCGCUCUUUGUGAUAAAUCUUGCUACUGCUCACUCUUUGGGUCAACGCUGCUUGUAUGAGCUGUAACACUCACCGCGAAGAGCUGCAGCUUCACUCCUGAGCCCAGCGAGACCACGAGCCCACCGGCAGGAACGAACAACUCCAGACGCGCUGCCUUAAGAGCUGUAACACUCACCGCGAAGGUCUGCAGCUUCACUCCUGAGCCAGCGAGACCACGAACCCACCAGAAGGAAGAAACUCCGAACACAUCUGAACAUCAGAAGUGACAGACUCCAGACGCGCCACCUGUAACACUCACGGCGAGGGUCCGCGGCUUCAUUCUUGAAGUCCGUGAGACCAAGAACCCAUCAAUUCCGGACACAGUUUCACAUUGGAAAUGGGAUUUUCCCAUUUCAAAAAAUGAAUAUAAUUUGAUCAUUGGAAUCACUAAUCACUUUUGAAUUCACUAAUCUUUUUAAUACAAUUCAAGGCAGUUGCUCUCAAACUGUAAAAUCACACACAGAAAUUGGAAAAAUACUGAUUCCCCAGGCCACAGACUUGAUGAUUUAGAAUCCCAAUCAGGGUAGGGAGUGGAGAGGAAGGGCAGACUCUAUAUUUAAAAAAAACUCCUCAGAUUACUCUGAUACAGAUAAAUCUUAGGAAAUCAUUACUCUAGAGCAAAGAAGGACUUGGUUAUUAUUCAACAGGGUAGCACUCAAAGUUAAACUGUAUUUUCCAGACCAUCAGUCCAAAUGGAGGCUUCGACAGAGUAAUGUUUUCAGUGAUAAGAAGCCAAAUCUCUGUAUCAGUGGUCCAUCGAAGCAGCUUACCAUCAAAGUUUAAGAUCCCCAAAACUCACUGCUAGUGUCCCUGACUGAAAACCCCUGUGGUGCUUGCCAGUUGCCAGUCAUUCUGUGCUCCCAGCCCUCAGGCAAAGUCCC
Molecule: long non-coding RNA, 2995 nt
Organism: Gorilla gorilla gorilla (western lowland gorilla)
Lineage: Eukaryota; Metazoa; Chordata; Mammalia; Primates; Hominidae
Exons: 3
Source: RefSeq, a predicted model, not a curated record